This 306-nucleotide ribosomal RNA is filed under the name uncultured bacterium. Its description in RNAcentral is "partial 16S ribosomal RNA". It matches the Rfam family "Bacterial small subunit ribosomal RNA", at positions 507 to 810 of the family's 1533-position model. The record is from RNAcentral.
GACAGCAGCCGCCGCGGGAAUACGUAGGUGGCGAGCGUUGUCCGGAAUUAUUGGGCGUAAAGGGAGCGCAGGCGGACAUAUAAGUCCAUCUUAAAAGUGCGGGGCUCAACCCCGUGAGGGGAUGGAAACUGUAUGCCUUGAGUGCAGGGGAGGAAAGUGGAAUUCCUAGUGUAGCGGUGAAAUGCGUAGAUAUUAGGAAGAACACCAGUGGCGAAGGCGACUUUCUGGACGAAAACUGACGCUGAGGCGCGAAAGCCAGGGGAGCAACGGGAUUAGAUACCCCAGUAGUCCCUGUCUCUUAUACAC